UCGGGAAUAUUGCGCAAUGGAGGAAACUCUGACGCAGUGACGCCGCGUAUAGGAAGAAGGUUUCGGAUUGUAACUAUUGUCGUGAGGGAAGAAAAUGACAGUACCUCAGGAGGAAGCUCCGGCUAACUAUGUGCC
This 135-nucleotide ribosomal RNA is filed under the name uncultured bacterium. Its description in RNAcentral is "partial 16S ribosomal RNA". It matches the Rfam family "Bacterial small subunit ribosomal RNA", at positions 355 to 509 of the family's 1533-position model. The record is from RNAcentral.